ACUGCAAACCUAAGCAAAAGGCAAGAUUUCCCCACACCAGAGUCUCCAAUCAGAAGCAAUUUGAAUAAAUAGUCACUUAGGAGUCAUGCUGGUCAUGC
Nanorana parkeri is the source of this 98-nucleotide long non-coding RNA. RefSeq lists it as uncharacterized. The record is from RefSeq and is a predicted model, not a curated record. The transcript has 3 exons. Lineage: Eukaryota; Metazoa; Chordata; Amphibia; Anura; Dicroglossidae.